RNAcentral lists this ribosomal RNA (468 nucleotides) under uncultured bacterium. RNAcentral describes it as "partial 16S ribosomal RNA". It matches the Rfam family "Bacterial small subunit ribosomal RNA", at positions 28 to 507 of the family's 1533-position model. The record is from RNAcentral.
GACGAACGCUGGCGGCGUGCUUAACACAUGCAAGUCGAACGGAAAGGCCCUGCUUUUGUGGGGUGCUCGAGUGGCGAACGGGUGAGUAACACGUGAGUAACCUGCCCUUGACUUUGGGAUAACUUCAGGAAACUGGGGCUAAUACCGGAUAGGAGCUCCUGCUGCAUGGUGGGGGUUGGAAAGUUUCGGCGGUUGGGGAUGGACUCGCGGCUUAUCAGCUUGUUGGUGGGGUAGUGGCUUACCAAGGCUUUGACGGGUAGCCGGCCUGAGAGGGUGACCGGCCACAUUAGGACUGAGGGACGGCCCAGACUCGUACGGGAGGCAGCGGCGGGGAAUAUUGCACAAUGGGCGGAAGCCUGAUGCAGAAGCGCCGCGUGCGGGAUGACGGCCUUCGGGUUGUAAACCGCUGUCGCCUGUGACGAAGCGUGAGUGACGGUAAUGGGUAAAGAAGCACCGGCUAACUACGUG